CUAACAGGAUUCCCCUAGUAACUGCGAGUGAAGCGGGAAAAGCUCAAAUUUAAAAUCUGGUAGUCUUUGGCUGCCCGAGUUGUAAUCUAGAGAAGCAUUAUCCGCGCUGGACCGUGUACAAGUCUCCUGGAACGGAGCGUCAUAGAGGGUGAGAAUCCCGUCUUUGACACGGACUACCAGGGCUUUGUGAUGUGCUCUCAAAGAGUCGAGUUGUUUGGGAAUGCAGCUCUAAAUGGGUGGUAAAUUCCAUCUAAAGCUAAAUAUUGGCGAGAGACCGAUAGCGAACAAGUACCGUGAGGGAAAGAUGAAAAGAACUUUGGAAAGAGAGUUAAACAGUACGUGAAAUUGUUGAAAGGGAAACGCUUGAAGUCAGUCGCGUUUGCCGGGGAUCAGCCUUGCUCUUUUGCUUGGUGUACUUCCUGGCUGACGGGUCAGCAUCAAUUUUGACCGGUGGAUAAAGGUCAGGGGAAUGUGGCAUCUUCGGAUGUGUUAUAGCCCUUGGUUGCAUACGCCGGUUGGGAUUGAGGAACUCAGCACGCCGCAAGGCCGGGUCUUUGACCACGUACGUGCUUAGGAUGCUGGCAUAAUGGCUUUAAUCGACCCGUCUUGAAACACGGACCAAGGAGUCUAACAUGCCCGCGAGUGUUUGGGUGGAAAACCCGGACGCGUAAUGAAAGUGAAAGUUGAGAUCCCUGUCGUGGGGAGCAUCGACGCCCGGACCAGACCUCUUGUGACGGUCCCGCGGUAGAGCGUGUAUGUUGGGACCCGAAAGAUGGUGAACUAUGCCUGAAUAGGGUGAAGCCAGAGGAAACUCUGGUGGAGGCUCGUAGCGAUUCUGACGUGCAAAUCGAUCGUCGAAUUUGGGUAUA
This 869-nucleotide ribosomal RNA is filed under the name Ossicaulis yunnanensis. RNAcentral describes it as "eukaryotic LSU rRNA". It matches the Rfam family "Eukaryotic large subunit ribosomal RNA", at positions 65 to 919 of the family's 3401-position model. The record is from RNAcentral. Lineage: Eukaryota; Fungi; Basidiomycota; Agaricomycetes; Agaricales; Lyophyllaceae.